CAUUUAAUUCUUCUGUCUCUUAAAUGAAAGCUAAAGGUUUUGUUUUUUUUGCUAAUGACAGGACUCCUACUCCCAGUGAGGGAGCAGAAAUAAGAAAGAUGAAAAAGGUUGCAAAAGCCAUAAGACAAUCUUCAGCACUUUUACUAACUGCAGAGCCAUCACAACCGAAAACAGAACUGAAGUGGAAGGAACUAUGCCAUCAUUUGAUCACAUUAAAACUUUGCAGAAGGCAAAGGCAGACUAUGCAUCAUAAUCUUACUGUUUUUCUGGUGCCUAAAGUGAUAUGCAUGCUGUAG
This 296-nucleotide long non-coding RNA is filed under the name Cyanistes caeruleus (blue tit). RNAcentral's name for it is "lncRNA (ENSCCEG00000015981.1)". Lineage: Eukaryota; Metazoa; Chordata; Aves; Passeriformes; Paridae. The record is from RNAcentral.